RNAcentral lists this ribosomal RNA (436 nucleotides) under Gemmatimonadota bacterium. RNAcentral's name for it is "Gemmatimonadetes bacterium (marine metagenome) partial 23S ribosomal RNA". It matches the Rfam family "Bacterial large subunit ribosomal RNA", at positions 2497 to 2925 of the family's 2925-position model. The record is from RNAcentral. Lineage: Bacteria; Pseudomonadati; Gemmatimonadota.
AGCUCACAUCGACGGGGGGGUUUGGCACCUCGAUGUCGGCUCAUCUCAUCCUGGGGCUGGAGCAGGUCCCAAGGGUUUGGCUGUUCGCCAAUUAAAGAGGUACGUGAGCUGGGUUUAGAACGUCGUGAGACAGUUCGGUCCCUAUCCGCCGUGGGUGUAGGAUAUUUGAGAAGAUCUGACCCUAGUACGAGAGGACCGGGUUGGACGAACCUCUGGUCAACCAGUUGUUCCGCCAGGAGCAUCGCUGGGUAGCUACGUUCGGAAGGGAUAAACGCUGAAAGCAUAUAAGCGUCAAGCCCACUUCAAGACUAGAUAUCCCGUAGGGUUAACCUACCUAAAGGCCCCUCGUAGACUACGAGGUUGAUAGGUUGCAGGUGGAAGCGCAGCAAUGUGUGAAGCCGAGCAAUACUAAUUGGCCGUGAGGCUUGACCAUUUU